ACUAAGCGUACACGGUGGAUGCCCUGGCAGUCAGAGGCGAUGAAGGACGUGCUAAUCUGCGAUAAGCGCCGGUAAGGUGAUAUGAACCGUUAUAACCGGCGAUUUCCGAAUGGGGAAACCCAGUGUGACUCGUCACACUAUCAUUAACUGAAUCCAUAGGUUAAUGAGGCGAACCGGGGGAACUGAAACAUCUAAGUACCCCGAGGAAAAGAAAUCAACCGAGAUUCCCCCAGUAGCGGCGAGCGAACGGGGAGGAGCCCAGAGCCUGAAUCAGCAUGUGUGUUAGUGGAAGCGUCUGGAAAGGCGCGCGAUACAGGGUGACAGCCCCGUACACAAAAGCGCAUGUGCUGUGAGCUCGAUGAGUAGGGCGGGACACGUGGUAUCCUGUCUGAAUAUGGGGGGACCAUCCUCCAAGGCUAAAUACUCCUGACUGACCGAUAGUGAACCAGUACCGUGAGGGAAAGGCGAAAAGAACCCCGGCGAGGGGAGUGAAAAAGAACCUGAAACCGUGUACGUACAAGCAGUGGGAGCCCCACCACCAAAGCAUUCUCUGGUGUUGAAGGCCCUGCAAAGCAGCAUCGCGGUGGCGGAGCGUCGUUUGCGACGCCCAACACACAAAACAAGCGGUGAGUGCUUUGGGGUGGGGUGACUGCGUACCUUUUGUAUAAUGGGUCAGCGACUUAUAUUCUGUAGCAAGGUUAACCGCAUAGGGGAGCCGGAGGGAAACCGAGUCUUAACCGGGCGUUAAGUUGCAGGGUAUAGACCCGAAACCCGGUGAUCUAGCCAUGGGCAGGUUGAAGGUUGGGUAACACUAACUGGAGGACCGAACCGACUAAUGUUGAAAAAUUAGCGGAUGACCUGUGGCUGGGGGUGAAAGGCCAAUCAAACCGGGAGAUAGCUGGUUCUCCCCGAAAGCUAUUUAGGUAGCGCCUCGUGAACUCAUCUCCGGGGGUAGAGCACUGUUUCGGCUAGGGGGCCAUCCCGGCUUACCAACCCGAUGCAAACUGCGAAUACCGGAGAAUGUUAUCACGGGAGACACACGGCGGGUGCUAACGUCCGUCGUGAAGAGGGAAACAACCCAGACCGCCAGCUAAGGUCCCAAAGUCAUGGUUAAGUGGGAAACGAUGUGGGAAGGCCCAGACAGCCAGGAUGUUGGCUUAGAAGCAGCCAUCAUUUAAAGAAAGCGUAAUAGCUCACUGGUCGAGUCGGCCUGCGCGGAAGAUGUAACGGGGCUAAACCAUGCACCGAAGCUGCGGCAGCGACGCUGAUGCGUUGUUGGGUAGGGGAGCGUUCUGUAAGCCUGUGAAGGUGGCCUGUGAGGGUUGCUGGAGGUAUCAGAAGUGCGAAUGCUGACAUAAGUAACGAUAAAGCGGGUGAAAAGCCCGCUCGCCGGAAGACCAAGGGUUCCUGUCCAACGUUAAUCGGGGCAGGGUGAGUCGACCCCUAAGGCGAGGCCGAAAGGCGUAGUCGAUGGGAAACGGGUUAAUAUUCCCGUACUUGGUGUUACUGCGAAGGGGGGACGGAGAAGGCUAUGUUGGCCGGGCGACGGUUGUCCCGGUUUAAGCGUGUAGGUGUGUGUUCCAGGUAAAUCCGGUUCACUUUAACACUGAGGCGUGAUGACGAGGCACUACGGUGCUGAAGCAACAAAUGCCCUGCUUCCAGGAAAAGCCUCUAAGCAUCAGGUAACAUCAAAUCGUACCCCAAACCGACACAGGUGGUCAGGUAGAGAAUACCAAGGCGCUUGAGAGAACUCGGGUGAAGGAACUAGGCAAAAUGGUGCCGUAACUUCGGGAGAAGGCACGCUGACACGUAGGUGAAGUGAUUUACUCACGGAGCUGAAGUCAGUCGAAGAUACCAGCUGGCUGCAACUGUUUAUUAAAAACACAGCACUGUGCAAACACGAAAGUGGACGUAUACGGUGUGACGCCUGCCCGGUGCCGGAAGGUUAAUUGAUGGGGUCAGCGCAAGCGAAGCUCCUGAUCGAAGCCCCGGUAAACGGCGGCCGUAACUAUAACGGUCCUAAGGUAGCGAAAUUCCUUGUCGGGUAAGUUCCGACCUGCACGAAUGGCGUAAUGAUGGCCAGGCUGUCUCCACCCGAGACUCAGUGAAAUUGAACUCGCUGUGAAGAUGCAGUGUACCCGCGGCAAGACGGAAAGACCCCGUGAACCUUUACUAUAGCUUGACACUGAACAUUGAGCCUUGAUGUGUAGGAUAGGUGGGAGGCUUUGAAGUGUGGACGCCAGUCUGCAUGGAGCCGACCUUGAAAUACCACCCUUUAAUGUUUGAUGUUCUAACGUGGACCCGUGAUCCGGGUUGCGGACAGUGUCUGGUGGGUAGUUUGACUGGGGCGGUCUCCUCCUAAAGAGUAACGGAGGAGCACGAAGGUUGGCUAAUCCUGGUCGGACAUCAGGAGGUUAGUGCAAUGGCAUAAGCCAGCUUGACUGCGAGCGUGACGGCGCGAGCAGGUGCGAAAGCAGGUCAUAGUGAUCCGGUGGUUCUGAAUGGAAGGGCCAUCGCUCAACGGAUAAAAGGUACUCCGGGGAUAACAGGCUGAUACCGCCCAAGAGUUCAUAUCGACGGCGGUGUUUGGCACCUCGAUGUCGGCUCAUCACAUCCUGGGGCUGAAGUAGGUCCCAAGGGUAUGGCUGUUCGCCAUUUAAAGUGGUACGCGAGCUGGGUUUAGAACGUCGUGAGACAGUUCGGUCCCUAUCUGCCGUGGGCGCUGGAGAACUGAGGGGGGCUGCUCCUAGUACGAGAGGACCGGAGUGGACGCAUCACUGGUGUUCGGGUUGUCAUGCCAAUGGCACUGCCCGGUAGCUAAAUGCGGAAGAGAUAAGUGCUGAAAGCAUCUAAGCACGAAACUUGCCCCGAGAUGAGUUCUCCCUGAGACUUAAAGUCUCCUGAAGGAACGUUGAAGACGACGACGUUGAUAGGCCGGGUGUGUAAGCGCAGCGAUGCGUUGAGCUAACCGGUACUAAUGAACCGUGAGGCUUAACC
This 2997-nucleotide ribosomal RNA is filed under the name Salmonella enterica subsp. enterica serovar Kentucky. Its description in RNAcentral is "bacterial LSU rRNA". It matches the Rfam family "Bacterial large subunit ribosomal RNA". Lineage: Bacteria; Pseudomonadati; Pseudomonadota; Gammaproteobacteria; Enterobacterales; Enterobacteriaceae. The record is from RNAcentral.